CUGGUGCAUCGGCUGGUGACCAACACCACAGCCGGGUAGCCAAGUUUGGAAGGGAUAAACGCUGAAGGCAUCUAAGCGUGAAGCCCCCCUCAAGAUGAGAUAUCCCUGACGAAAGUCAAUAAGAUCCCUUGAAGACGACGAGGUAGAUAGGGCAGGGGUGGAAGCAUGGCAACAUGUGUAGCUGACUGUUACUAAUAGAUCGAAGGCUUGACCAA
Molecule: ribosomal RNA, 215 nt
Filed under: Lachnospiraceae bacterium
Lineage: Bacteria; Bacillati; Bacillota; Clostridia; Lachnospirales; Lachnospiraceae
Description: partial 23S ribosomal RNA
Rfam family: Bacterial large subunit ribosomal RNA
Source: RNAcentral